Carcharodon carcharias (great white shark) is the source of this 5032-nucleotide RNA transcript. It is a transcript of the gene named putative phosphoenolpyruvate synthase, with no coding region annotated. The transcript has 37 exons. Lineage: Eukaryota; Metazoa; Chordata; Chondrichthyes; Lamniformes; Lamnidae. The record is from RefSeq and is a predicted model, not a curated record.
UGGGAAAACUCAGCAGGUCUGACAGCAUCAUGUGGUGAAAUAUAAGCUGGGACAGGUGGAGCUGGAUAGAGGGCCGGUGAUAGGUGGAUAGUUGUGCACUGAAUACGAUAUCAGGAACUGAUAUUUUCGUGCCCGCAAUCCUGCGGGGAAGGAGCAGCCAGGAACCAAUCGACAUGUUCUGCCUGGGUUCGAUCGUUGUGGCUUUCCUCUGCAUCUACAUUGUGAAAAGUUUACUGCAAGGCAACCCCGAGCCAUUGAACGGGAGGUAUUCCGUGCCGGGUCGAUUUUACACCCUCAAGAAGUUACUGGUCCUCUGCGUUUACCGCUUAUUGUGCCUCUUUAGAGGGAAGAAGGAUUCAAGCAGCAAGAAUGAUCUGGACAUAGAGAAGAUGGGGCUGGGACGCCCAAGAAAGGAUCUGCAGAUUGCAGCCGGUGAAAUGGAAGGUGGAGGGGGACUUGGUAAAAGUUCUCGAUCAUCUGUGGAAGACAUGGAAUGUGUACAGAAAUUGAUGAACCACCCUCAUGCUAUCGACUCGGUUUAUUUUAUGGGAUUCACAGAGAUGGAUAAAACCUUCUUUGCUGUUCGGGUUUGCCGGAAGCCAAAUGAUUUGUGUGAAAUGUGGGUGUUGCUUCGAGUUGAAGGAGUUGGAAAUUUUGAGCAUCCAAUCCAUCCUGAUACAAUCACUUCUGUGGGCAGUAAGAACUCCUGGAGUGGAGGUGGUCUAAAGCUGGUGUGUCUCGAACCACAACGGCGAUGGCGAAUUACCUUUAGUGGACUUCUGAGAAGGGGACCGUACAGAGAUAAAUGGACUGAAGAGGAAGGAGAGCUUCUGCAUGUCAAGUUUACUUUUAUCUGGACGUCCUUUUCUGGUGUGUUUGACUUUGACACGGAUAUUCACCCCAGCGCUAUUGCUCAGAGCAUUGCCAGGGAGAAGUGGAGCAAAAAGUUCUUUGAAAACCUGAAAGAGUACAAUCAACAACAGACACAUUAUGAGCAGUGGGGUCAGUAUGUUGGAGAAAUUGAAAUUGAGGGAUAUGAAAGAACUGAGCUGCUUCUUCGUGGAGUGAGGGAUCAUUCUUAUGGUAUCAGAAAUUGGACUCAUAUGCAUCGCUAUGUUUUGAUUUUUGCACACUUUGAGAAUGGAUUAUCAGUGAAUUUAAUAGCGCUCUGCAUUUCUGCAACCACCACAAAUAUGAAUAUAGGCUAUGUGAUGUUUCCAAAUGGGAAGAAGGCUGGGAUUGACUGGUCAGAUGCCUCCUUAGCAGAUAUUGCUGAUGAUGGGGUCAUUGCUGACCUGUACAGAAUCAGUUUUACAGCAGAAGGCCAGUUGUUUAAUCUUCAAGUGUCAAUUGACAAAAAUGCUUCCCCUGUGAUGUAUGGGGGACUAAGUUGGGAAAGUAGAAUCCAUGAGUGUGUGGCCAACUACCGAUUGGAUUUAACUGUUCGUGGCUGGGGCAUAAUUGAAUUUCAUUACAGAAAUGAAAGCGGCCGAGAGGCUCCAGACUUCAUACCAACUGAAAAGUUCCAGGAACCUGUGGUGCCACCAUGCUCCAAGUUGGUGUUGGCGCUCUCUGAUGAGGCGUGCCAGUGUGCUGCAGCGGUGGGCAGUAAAGGAGCUCAGCUGGCACAGCUAAUGAAAAUGCAGAAAUGCUUUGGGUAUCAGUUUUCUGUACCAACAGGCCUGUGUGUCACAGUUGCAGCCCUGGAACACCAAAUGAAAAUGAACAUCAGUCUUCAGCAAGCCAUGGCAGAGCUGGAUGAUGUGACCUGCGCACGUAAAGAUGGAAACCUUCAUCAACUGUGCAAAAGGUGUGUUGAAUUAUUCAAGGAAACCAAACUGGCACAAGAGAUAGAAAAUGCCAUUCAUGACCAGCUUGCAGAGCUGAGGCUGAUGGGAGCAGAAGAACGACUGGCUGUCAGGUCCAGCGCAGCCUGUGAGGACACAGAGGACAUGUCUGCUGCUGGGCAGCUUGAUACAGAACUGGGAUUGAAAGGCUGUGAACAGGUGUGUAAUGCUGUGCGGGACUGCUGGGCCUCUCUCUACUCAUUCCAAGCAGUGCAAUAUCGCAGCCAAAGGGGGCAACCGGUGCCAUCAAGCGUGGGUGUGGUGAUCCAGCAAAUGGUAUCAGCCCAGGCAGCAGGUGUGUUGUUUACAUGUGAUCCUGUCACAGGACACUCGGGCAGAAUGAUUAUCAAUGCAAACUAUGGACUGGGAAAGUCUGUGGUGAGUGGUCAUUCAGAGCCUGACACCAUCACCCUCUCUUGCAGCCUGAAAGGGAAAUGUCAGAUUAUCAAGAAGGAAGUUGGAGCAAAGAAGCAGUAUUGCCUACAAAAUGAUGAAGGUGAAAUUAUAUUUGAAGAUACUUUAACUUCAGAAGCUGCAAAAUGUUGCAUCACUGAGGACAUCAUUCUGAGAUUAGGACAUGUGGCAUUUCAGGUGGAAAAUGCUUAUGGAAAUGCAAGAGAUAUUGAGUGGGCAGUAAAGGACACAAAGAUUUAUUUACUACAGGCCAGACCAAUAACAACAUUUUACAAUGAGUCCGAGUUUGAGCUGAUGCACGAGUUUGACUCUGCCUUGUCCACAGACUACGAAUGGCUGACAACCUCAAACCUUGGUGAAAUGAUGCCUGGAGCUGUUACACCUUUAACAUCAAGCACCUUUGUGAGAGCCGUUGAAUAUGCAUUACAGGAAUUAGGGUUUAAGUCUGGAGGAAUUCCUUGCCUUUCACCCUACAAUUAUAAGUUCCUGGGGAUCUGCUGUGCCCAUUUGUUUAUGAAUCUAAUGACCAUGAAUUGCAACAUGGAACAGAAUAACAUCAUUACACAGAAGAAGAUGUGCGACCUUGGACUGCUAGGAAGGGUUUUGAAUGAAUUAUCACUGCAUGAUGUUACCUUAAUUCUUGGAAAAUCACCCGUAUGGAAGAGAAUUAUCAAUGCAGCUCGAUUAAUUCAGUAUAUUGUAAAUGCUGAGUCGAGGGUAAACAGACUAAUGAAGAAAAUGGAGACUUAUAAGAUUCAACCUGCAAACAAAGCACAAGAAUUUUACUUUAACAUAGACCAGCAGCUACCUGAAUAUUUUGAGGCAUGGUGUACGUCGCUGUCAAAAUCAUGUAGCUCUGGAAUGUGGAAUCAAGUUUUCAUCUCGCUUUUGUCAAAAGGAAACACAAACUGUACCUCUGAGCUAUGCGCUGAUGUUGCUGUGGCGUACGGCACCUGUCCAGAUAUUGUGUCUGCUGAGAUUCCGUUAAAUGUGGAGGCAAUCACUGAAGCAAUCCGAACCCAGGGCCAGACUACUGAGUUUCUAAAGCAGGAUGCUCAGACUGCAAUAUCUUGGCUGCUGUCUCAGGAGAGUGGAGAAGCUGGUCAGAAAUUCCAAAACUUACUACAGAAACAUGGCUCCCGCUGCCCAAGAGAGGCCGAUUUGCAUGAAAAGUCUUGGGCAAGUGAUCCUAUAAAGCUACUUCCAGCAAUCCAGAAAGCUUUGCAGAGCAGAAAAUUGGCUGUUGAAAAAGUAGCAGUAUCUCCAGGGGAGGCUAUUGAUUCCAUGAGAUCGUCACUUACAUGGAUUAGAAAGUGUGCCCUGCGCUUGAUCUUACCAUGGGUUAGGAAAGCCAUUGCCAGCAGAGAAUUAUUAAAAGCUGAGGCAAUCAGAAUGAGUGAUGUUUUUAAGGUUGCGUAUUGGAAACUGGCUAAACUUAUGGUACUGGAGGGCUAUUUACCUGAUGAGGACUUGCUGUUCUUCCUAACUCAUUCAGAAAUUGGAGAACUUCUUCAGCGGAGAUCGACAACCAUGGUCACCAGAGCCCAGCAUCGGCGGAGAUUACUGGGAAAGCAAAUGGACCUUCAGUUUAAGGAAAUGAACAUCGGUAAACCUGUGCCAUUACACCAAUAUCAGAGUCAGGCAAAUGGAAGAGAGCUAACUCUGAGAGGUAUGAUAGUCAGCCGAGGGAGUGUGAAAGGAACAGCGUAUGUUGUGAAAACAACCUUGGAGGCAGACUGCAUCCAGCAGGGGGACAUUUUAGUCAUGAAAAGCGCAGACAUUGGCUGGAGCCCAUACUUCCCUCUGCUAGGAGGGCUGGUUACUGAGCUUGGAGGAUUGCUUUCACAUGCUGCUGUUGUUGCUCGAGAGUAUGGGCUGCCGUGUAUUGUGAGUUGCAGAGGUGCAACAAGCCUAAUCAAGUCAGGUGAUACAGUGAUUCUCAAUGGGAAAGAUGGAUUUCUCCAGAAAGUUGAAGAAAAUUGAAAAUAUGAAUGUAUUUUUAAGUCAAAGUCAACCUUUUCUUCACGUGCAUAAUGCCGCAGUUUUAGAUUAACCUCUACUGCUGCAGCAAGGCAAAACCACUCUAUGAAGAUUUAAGAAGUUGGAAAGCAAAGAAAAAAUGCAAAGAGCACCUCUUCCACUCUGCACCAAAUUACCACUAUGCACCAAAUUGCCAAUACCCACACUCACUCUGGCUGUGUUUCACUCGGGAUGAGGUCUUUCCCCUGUUUGUGUGCAAGCACGAAUCCUGUAAGCCUGAAGCCUGCAGCGACUCAUUUUUGCAAUUUUGUAUUUUUGCACUUCUCUUUUGAUUUUUGAAGCAAAGGAUAUGGAGAGAAAGCAGGAGCAGAAUAAUGAGCUGGAUGAUCAGCUAUUAUCAUGGUCAGUGGCUUGAAGGGCCGAAUGGCUUUUGAUUUUUUUUUUAAGUGAACCUUUAUUGAAUCUUACUUUGUAGUCAUUGAUUUAAACCUAGGUGUGAUUGUGCUUUGAUUAGUUAAUCAAUAGCAAUCAGUAGUGAUAUUAUUAACUGCAGACUGUUUUCUCCAGACCUUGUUUUUCCAUAAUAUCCAUUCAAGCUAGUAUUUAUUCUACAUCUUUGUAUUCCCUUUUCAAGCUAGAUUACUAUAAAAAAGUUAUUUUUUGUUUAUCAGAAGUGCUAUUUCUUACUGCAUUCAAUGACCCUUGAACUAUAAGCCAGGAAAAUGAAUAACCUUACACAUGACGUGGUGAACUAUGGUGUGGAAUCAGGAGAUGGGGAAGAAUUUUCCCCC